This is a non-coding RNA of Ricinus communis (castor bean), 119 nucleotides long. The record is from Rfam. Lineage: Eukaryota; Viridiplantae; Streptophyta; Magnoliopsida; Malpighiales; Euphorbiaceae.
GGGUGCGAUCAUACCAGCACUAAUGCACCGGAUCCCAUCAGAACUCCGAAGUUAAACGUGCUUGGGCAAGAGUAGUACUAAGAUGGGUGACCUUUUGUGAAGUCCUCGUGUUGCACCCC